Molecule: ribosomal RNA, 301 nt
Filed under: uncultured bacterium
Lineage: Bacteria
Description: partial 16S ribosomal RNA
Rfam family: Bacterial small subunit ribosomal RNA
Source: RNAcentral
CAGCCGCCGCGGUAAAACGGAGGAUCCAAGCGUUAUCCGGAAUCAUUGGGUUUAAAGGGUCCGUAGGCGGUCUUGUAAGUCAGUGGUGAAAGCCCAUCGCUCAACGGUGGAACGGCCAUUGAUACUGCAGGACUUGAAUUAUUGGGAAGUAACUAGAAUAUGUAGAGUAGCGGUGAAAUGCUUAGAGAUUACAUGGAAUACCAAUUGCGAAGGCAGGUUACUACCAAUUGAUUGACGCUGAUGGACGAAAGCGUGGGUAGCGAACAGGAUUAGAUACCCGCGUAGUCCCUGUCUCUUAUAC